UUGAAUGACUAUAUCUUAAUCGUUUUUUCAAGGAGGUAGACGCGCCCAUUAAAUAUGAGAACCAUGAUGGGGUAACUUUGGCUAAUCUCUACGGUGUACACAUACAACUUAUGAGGAGGGGAACCAAGUCGGUAGCUAUCCCUAAAGUCAUGCACGUAAACUUUUGUUGUAGAGAAAAGUUUCGAGCCGGUGCGCCGGCCGAAACGUUACGUAUGAUGCACACGAACCAACAUAUCUCUCUCACGUAACCGUGCGUUCUGUGGAACCUGCAACCUUAUCCAUUCCUUUUUUUCAAUUCUGCGUCUCCACGUCUCUUUCUUCAACCUCUUGAUGCACACAAUCAUCCUCUUCAUGUUGCAUCCCACCUGACCCCCUCCCGCGGUAUCAUGCAACAAGGUCGACCACCCACAUCACCCUACUAACGGGACCACGCAGGGGCUGCUGUGAGCGGAGAGUCAUGGCCUGCUACAAGUCGGUUCCUUAAACUGUCGUCAAUGGCUACAACCAACGAGCCAAUGUCGCAACCAUUAUCAGUUUUUGCUAGCAUCGGCGACAAAGUUUGCUACAUUCAGAUGGUCACGUCGCGACUCGCGACAAUGUAGAUGAUAUCUUUUUGCUGCAGCCAUCUCGACUUUUUGUUAGCGACCGACGAAAAUUUUUGCCGCAACCAAAUGGCAUAAUGCGACUUGCGAUGACGGCAAUGAUGUUUUUGAUGCAACCGUCGUAGACUUUUGCUAUAAUCGGUGACACAAAGUGCCACAACUAAACAACCAUGCUAUGACCAGAAAGGUCGUUUACUGGAGCCUGUGAGGUCGAUUUUGCUACAACCAGCAACGCAAAAUGUUGCGACCGGCAUGGCAGGAUGCUCAGACGGUAUGCACGACGAGCUACAACCGGGGCGAUGGCAUUUUUUUUGUCACCAUUGUCAACGUUUGCUACUACCGACGAUAGUAAUUGAUGCGACGACGAAGGCCAUGCUUUUACAACCAGCGAGGUGUCUUACUCGACGGCAACGAAAGACGGCGAGCCCGGGGUUCGUAGGGUAGCCGGCAAGCGCAGGUGGCCUAGGGAGAGCGCGACGGCCAUGUUUCCCCCCGGGGAUUUUCUCGAGCGAAGGAAUGAAAGAGGCGGUUGACUCAAAUCUAACAAUGGCUAUUUAACGCAUCGAACAGCUGGGGCAGUCCGGC
Molecule: long non-coding RNA, 1187 nt
Filed under: Hordeum vulgare
Lineage: Eukaryota; Viridiplantae; Streptophyta; Magnoliopsida; Poales; Poaceae
Description: long non-coding RNA (HVUL_LNC016907)
Source: RNAcentral